RNAcentral lists this ribosomal RNA (492 nucleotides) under uncultured bacterium. Its description in RNAcentral is "partial 16S ribosomal RNA". It matches the Rfam family "Bacterial small subunit ribosomal RNA", at positions 29 to 507 of the family's 1533-position model. The record is from RNAcentral.
AGUGAACGCUGGCGGUAGGCCUAACACAUGCAAGUCGAACGGCAGCACAGUAAGAGCUUGCUCUUACGGGUGGCGAGUGGCGGACGGGUGGGGAAUACAUCGGAAUCUACUUUUUCGUGGGGGAUAACGUAGGGAAACUUACGCUAAUACCGCAUACGACCUACGGGUGAAAGCAGGGGAUCUUCGGACCUUGCGCGAUUGAAUGAGCCGAUGUCGGAUUAGCUAGUUGGCGGGGUAAAGGCCCACCAAGGCGACGAUCCGUAGCUGGUCUGAGAGGAUGAUCAGCCACACUGGAACUGAGACACGGUCCAGACUCCUACGGGAGGCAGCAGUGGGGAAUAUUGGACAAUGGGCGCAAGCCUGAUCCAGCCAUACCGCGUGGGUGAAGAAGGCCUUCGGGUUGUAAAGCCCUUUAGUUGGGAAAGAAAAGCAGCAGGUUAAUACCCCGCUGUUCUGACGGUACCCAAAGAAUAAGCACCGGCUAACUUCGUG